CAGUCGCCGCGGGAAUACGUAGGUGGCAAGCGUUGUCCGGAAUUAUCGGGCGUAAAGGGCUCGCAGGCGGUUUCUUAAGUCUGAUGUGAAAGCCCCCGGCUCAACCGGGGAGGGUCAUUGGAAACUGGGAAACUUGAGUGCAGAAGAGGAGAGUGGAAUUCCACGUGUAGCGGUGAAAUGCGUAGAGAUGUGGAGGAACACCAGUGGCGAAGGCGACUCUCUGGUCUGUAACUGACGCUGAGGAGCGAAAGCGUGGGGAGCGAACAGGAUUAGAUACCCCCGUAGUCCCUGUCUCUUAUAC
Molecule: ribosomal RNA, 301 nt
Filed under: uncultured bacterium
Lineage: Bacteria
Description: partial 16S ribosomal RNA
Rfam family: Bacterial small subunit ribosomal RNA
Source: RNAcentral